RNAcentral lists this ribosomal RNA (520 nucleotides) under uncultured bacterium. RNAcentral describes it as "bacterial SSU rRNA". It matches the Rfam family "Bacterial small subunit ribosomal RNA", at positions 337 to 873 of the family's 1533-position model. The record is from RNAcentral.
UCCUACGGGAGGCAGCAGUGGGGGAUAUUGCACAAUGGGGGAAACCCUGAUGCAGCGACGCCGCGUGGAGGAAGAAGGUUUUCGGAUUGUAAACUCCUGUCGUUAGGGACGAUAAUGACGGUACCUAACAAGAAAGCACCGGCUAACUACGUGCCAGCAGCCGCGGUAAAACGUAGGGUGCAAGCGUUGUCCGGAAUUACUGGGUGUAAAGGGAGCGCAGGCGGGAUGACAAGUUGGAAGUGAAAACCAUGGGCUCAACCCAUGAAUUGCUUUCAAAACUGUUUUUCUUGAGUAGUGCAGAGGUAGAUGGAAUUCCCGGUGUAGCGGUGGAAUGCGUAGAUAUCGGGAGGAACACCAGUGGCGAAGGCGGUCUACUGGGCACCAACUGACGCUGAGGCUCGAAAGCAUGGGUAGCAAACAGGAUUAGAUACCCUGGUAGUCCAUGCCGUAAACGAUGAUUACUAGGUGUUGGAGGAUUGACCCCUUCAGUGCCGCAGUUAACACAAUAAGUAAUCCACCA